GAGGAAUAUUGGUCAAUGGGCGCAAGCCUGAACCAGCCAUGCCGCGUGCAGGAUGACGGUCCUAUGGAUUGUAAACUGCUUUUGUACAGGAAGAAACACUCCCUCGUGAGGGAGCUUGACGGUACUGUAAGAAUAAGGAUCGGCUAACUCCGUGCCAGCAGCCGCGGUAAUACGGAGGAUCCAAGCGUUAUCCGGAAUCAUUGGGUUUAAAGGGUCCGUAGGCGGUUUUAUAAGUCAGUGGUGAAAUCUGGUCGCUCAACGAUCAAACGGCCAUUGAUACUGUAAGACUUGAAUUACUUGGAAGUAACUAGAAUAUGUAGUGUAGCGGUGAAAUGCUUAGAGAUUACAUGGAAUACCAAUUGCGAAGGCAGGUUACUACAAGUGGAUUGACGCUGAUGGACGAAAGCGUGGGGAGCGAAC
RNAcentral lists this ribosomal RNA (420 nucleotides) under uncultured bacterium. Its description in RNAcentral is "bacterial SSU rRNA". It matches the Rfam family "Bacterial small subunit ribosomal RNA", at positions 356 to 773 of the family's 1533-position model. The record is from RNAcentral.